UACGAGGGGGGCGAGCGUUGUUCGGAAUUAUUGGGCGUAAAGGGUGUGUAGGUGGCGCCGUAAGUCGGGUGUGAAAUUUCGGAGCUUAACUCCGAAACUGCAUUCGAUACUGCGGUGCUUGAGGACUGGAGAGGAGACUGGAAUUCAUGGUGUAGCAGUGAAAUGCGUAGAGAUCAUGAGGAAGACCAGUGGCGAAGGCGGGUCUCUGGACAGUUCCUGACACUGAGACACGAAGGCCAGGGGAGCAAACGGG
This 253-nucleotide ribosomal RNA is filed under the name uncultured bacterium. RNAcentral's name for it is "partial 16S ribosomal RNA". It matches the Rfam family "Bacterial small subunit ribosomal RNA", at positions 524 to 776 of the family's 1533-position model. The record is from RNAcentral.